RNAcentral lists this ribosomal RNA (355 nucleotides) under uncultured bacterium. Its description in RNAcentral is "partial 16S ribosomal RNA". It matches the Rfam family "Bacterial small subunit ribosomal RNA", at positions 338 to 690 of the family's 1533-position model. The record is from RNAcentral.
CCUACGGGAGGCAGCAGUGAGGAAUAUUGGUCAAUGGACGAGAGCCUGAACCAGCCAAGUAGCGUGAAGGAUGACUGCCCUACGGGUUGUAAACUUCUUUUAUAAGGGAAUAAAGUGAAGCACGUAUACCUUUUUGUAUGUACUUUAUGAAUAAGGAUCGGCUAACUCCGUGCCAGCAGCCGCGGUAAUACGGAGGAUCCGAGCGUUAUCCGGAUUUAUUGGGUUUAAAGGGAGCGUAGAUGGGUGGUUAAGUCAGUUGUGAAAGUUUGCGGCUCAACCGUAAAAUUGAAAUUGAUACUGGCAGUCUUGAGUAAACAUGAGGUAGGGGAAAUCCGUGGGGUAGCGGUGAAAGGUU